UCUUAAAAUAAUUUAUAAAAUUAUUAUGAAUUUUUUAAAUUGUUAUUUUUAAAAUUAAUUUUAUAAUUUUUAAAUUUAUUAGAUAAAAAUUAUUAAUAUUUAUAUUUUUAGUAUUGUUAAAGAAUUAAAUUAUUUAGAUAAAUUAAAAUUUUUUUUAUUUGUACCUUUUGUAUCAGGGUUUAUUAAAAUUUUAGAAUUAUUAAUUUAUUUCUCGAAAUAUAUUGAAUUAAUUUGAUAGAAAAAUUAUUGUAAAAAUAAUAUUUUAAAUAUUAAAUUUGUAAUUAUAUGUUAUUCAUAAUAUAAUAUCUAGUUAUUUAAUAAAUAAAUUUAAUUUAAUUGAAAUUAUUAAUAUUAAAAAAAUUAAGGUUUUUAAUAUUUAUUUUUAAUAAUAAUUAUAGGGAUAAGCUUGUAAUUAAAUUAUUUAUAAAUUAUGUUUAAUUGUAUUAAAAUAAAAUUAAAAAUUUUUAAUUUUAAUAGUAUGUAAUUAUUAUAAUAAUAAUAUAAAUUAAAUAUUUUUUUUUUUUUAAAUAAUUUAUUAAAUUAUUUAUUUAAAUUUUAUGAAUAAAAUAAUAAUGAUAAAAUUAGUAAAUUGUUAUUAAAUUGUAUAAAAAUAAUUUUUUAGAUUAUUUUAAAGAAUUAGGCAAUAAUUUUAUAUUCAUCUGUUUAUUAAAAACAUUGUUUAUUGAUUAAUAAUAUUAGAUAUUUUCUGCUCAAUGAUAAUUUUUAAAUAGCUGCAGUAUUUUAACUGUACAAAGGUAGCAUAAUCAUUUGAUUUUUUAUUGAAAUCUGGAAUGAAAGGAAUAAUGAAAUAUAAUCUUUUUAAAUUUGAAAAAUUAAAUUUUAUUUUUAAGUAAAAAAUCUUAAUAAUUAUUUAAAGACGAGAAGACCCUAUAGAAUUUUAUAAAUAUAUUUAAAUUUUUUUUUAAGUAAUUUUAUUAUAUUGGGGUAAUAUUAAAAUUUAAUUAAUUUUUAUUUAAGUUUUUUCAUUAAUAUAUGUUUAUAAAAUUUAUUAAUAAUAAAUAAAAAUUAAAUUACCUUAGGGAUAACAGCGUAAUUAUUUUUGAGAGAUCUUAUUGAUAAAAUAGAUUAUGACCUCGAUGUUGAAUUAAAAUAAAUUAUUAAUGAAGAUAUUAAUUAAUUAAGUCUGUUCGACUUUUAAAAUUUUACAUGAUUUGAGUUUAGAUCGGUGUGAGCCAGAUCGGAUUCUAUCUUAAAUUAUUUAAAAUAUUUUUGUACGAAAGGACUUUAUAUUUAUAAAAUUUAUUAAAAAUUUGAAUAAAAUU
RNAcentral lists this ribosomal RNA (1283 nucleotides) under Encyrtus aurantii. RNAcentral's name for it is "16S ribosomal RNA". The record is from RNAcentral. Lineage: Eukaryota; Metazoa; Arthropoda; Insecta; Hymenoptera; Encyrtidae.